AUGCACGGACAGACAGAUCUCCAUCGUCUGUCUUCUUCCUCCAUCGUCUCCUGCCUGAAGCAAAGCCUAGGGAGGAGCAGCAGCAGCAGAAGAACAACAAGAAUUCCUGGGUGGAUUACGGGGGGCGGAGAAGGAGGCAUGGAGCACCAUUUAGGCAAUCUGAGUGAGUUGUGGAAGAGCCCUAGAGGAACAGUGGUUCGUAUUGAGGUGCUUGCAUUGGUGGCCAUUGCCCUCUCCUUCUUUUAUGUGGCUUUUGGGUCCAGCCGCCGCUGGUCCAACCACUGGAUGGUUCAAAAAGGUGUCUUGGUUGCAAAUGCAUUAUCAUUGUCCCUCGGGACAUACAGCAUUGGCUUAAUGCAGUCCUCGUCGGUGAAGAGUGAGAUGUACCCCAUCUGGGCCGUAUCCUUGCUCACCCUCUUCGGCAGCAUUGACUCAAUCAGUGGGUACAACCUUGACCACAACAGCCAGUUCCUGAAGUUGCUAUACCAGCUCUGCCUCUAUUGUGGAUAUGUCCUACUAAUUGGUAUCUCCACCAUCUCCACUGAUGUAGGUAACAUUGCAAUUGGUGUUCUGUGUGCCAUCACUUUCAUUAAGGGCUUUCACAGAUCACUAGCAAGUGUGUUGCCAAGCAGAUUGCGGAAUGUGAACAAAUUGAUUGCUGAUUACAUGGGAGAGAGCCAUUCAAGAAGUCAUGAUGGUGACGUCAUUAUGAGAGAUUACCCUAAGUACGUGGUCGACUGGCCCCUAGACCAUUUCAGAAAAAGAAACAACAUAUUGGAGGGUAAUAAAGGAUGUUUGUUGCAACGGCGUUUCUUUGGGUUCGCAUGUGCUGAGUCCCGCCUUGAUGAGACCGAGGAUUUUGUCAACAAAGGCCUGCUUGUACAAAGGGAUGAUGGUACUGUUGACUAUGAGAGGGCAUUUAACGUCAUCGAGGUUGAGUUGUAUUUUCUCUAUGACAUAUUUUUCACCAACAAUGCCUUCCUUCAUUACUAUGAGUCGAAAGUUGCAACAAUUUGGACAUUUGCCUCAAUCAUUGGCAUAAUAUUUGUGGGAGUUGUGACUAUCAUACCUGGGGCAAGAACAACACAUAUUUCUGGCGACACUAUUGUUGUGACGACCACAUCAUAUGACCUUGUCAUCACUCUAGUAAUACUGGUCUCCAUUGCUUUGCUCCAAGUGAUGCAGUUGGUACGGUGUUGGACAUCCAACUGGUCUAAAGUUGCCCUUGUGUGUCAGUCUAUCAGAAAUGGAGACGGGGGCUGCCAAAUGAGGUUUAAAGCGUUUAUGACCAAGAUUAAUUUUUUCGCCGGCUAUGUCUGGCAACGUAAGCUUGGACAAUAUUCAUUUGUUGAAGCAAUCAGCACAAAAGAGUGUGUGUUGGCCACGUUUGUGAAACGUGCGUUUAAGGAAUGCAUCACUUUUUCAAGGAUAUUUGGGUUGCGGUACAUUGAGCAAGUUUAUGAGGAAAUGUUUGGCAGUCCUACAGGCAAUCAUGUUCUGUUGACCGCACACGUGAAGGAAGCCAUUGUUGACUCUUAUAUGCGCCUCUGCCUUAUUGACAAUGGUGAUCUAGGUACUUGGUCUUGGACUUGGCCGACAAUUGGUGUCUUUUCGGAGAGGAAAAAUGGACCGAGAACUAUUAUGGCUUGUCACAUUGCGACUUGUUACCUGGAAAUGGGGCAGUCAAAAAACAAGAAGUGGCUUGAUGAGCACCCUGUAGAAGAAGAGAGGGAGAAGCUAGCAGUGUAUUUUGAUGUUGCCACAACGUUGUCCAAGUACUAUGCACACUUGAUUGUCUCCGCGCCACAGUUGCUUCCUCCGAACCCCUUGGAGACAAAAUCUGCUUAUAGUGCAGCUGCACGGGAAGCAAGACAUUUACUACGUGGGGCGGAAGACAAAUAUGAGGCAAUGAAACAUAUGGACUCAACAACAGGGGUGAUUACUAAUGAAGAAGAAUCAGAUUUCUCCAAGGAAGAAUCAGUUUUCCGGAAGGGCAUGGACCUAGGGAGGAGUCUCGAAAACCAGCCUGUGUUUGUUCUGUGGGAGGAGCUGGCAAGAUUCUGGGCCAAUAGGUUGCUCUAUGCCGCGCCUUCCGAUAAUGUGAAGGAGCACAUUGAUCAUCUCUCACGGGGUGGUGAGUUCAUCACGCAUCUCUGGGCUCUGCUGUUUCAUGCCGGCAUAGUCAAUGCCGACCAAUUCGAGCAAAAGCAGGCGGGUAGAGUACAAAUGAGAGUGAUGAAAUUAAGAACUAAGAUCAAGUCUAGUUGA
Molecule: ribosomal RNA, 2268 nt
Filed under: Triticum aestivum (bread wheat)
Lineage: Eukaryota; Viridiplantae; Streptophyta; Magnoliopsida; Poales; Poaceae
Description: partial small subunit ribosomal RNA
Source: RNAcentral